Molecule: ribosomal RNA, 2187 nt
Filed under: Salmonella enterica
Lineage: Bacteria; Pseudomonadati; Pseudomonadota; Gammaproteobacteria; Enterobacterales; Enterobacteriaceae
Description: partial 23S ribosomal RNA
Rfam family: Bacterial large subunit ribosomal RNA
Source: RNAcentral
CCGAACCGACUAAUGUUGAAAAAUUAGCGGAUGACCUGUGGCUGGGGGUGAAAGGCCAAUCAAACCGGGAGAUAGCUGGUUCUCCCCGAAAGCUAUUUAGGUAGCGCCUCGUGAAUUCAUCUCCGGGGGUAGAGCACUGUUUCGGCUAGGGGGCCAUCCCGGCUUACCAACCCGAUGCAAACUGCGAAUACCGGAGAAUGUUAUCACGGGAGACACACGGCGGGUGCUAACGUCCGUCGUGAAGAGGGAAACAACCCAGACCGCCAGCUAAGGUCCCAAAGUCAUGGUUAAGUGGGAAACGAUGUGGGAAGGCCCAGACAGCCAGGAUGUUGGCUUAGAAGCAGCCAUCAUUUAAAGAAAGCGUAAUAGCUCACUGGUCGAGUCGGCCUGCGCGGAAGAUGUAACGGGGCUAAACCAUGCACCGAAGCUGCGGCAGCGACACUGUGUGUUGUUGGGUAGGGGAGCGUUCUGUAAGCCUGUGAAGGUGUGUCGUGAGGCAUGCUGGAGGUAUCAGAAGUGCGAAUGCUGACAUAAGUAACGAUAAAGCGGGUGAAAAGCCCGCUCGCCGGAAGACCAAGGGUUCCUGUCCAACGUUAAUCGGGGCAGGGUGAGUCGACCCCUAAGGCGAGGCCGAAAGGCGUAGUCGAUGGGAAACGGGUUAAUAUUCCCGUACUUGGUGUUACUGCGAAGGGGGGACGGAGAAGGCUAUGUUGGCCGGGCGACGGUUGUCCCGGUUUAAGCGUGUAGGUGUGUGUUCCAGGUAAAUCCGGUUCACUUUAACACUGAGGCGUGACGACGAGGCACUACGGUGCUGAAGCAACAAAUGCCCUGCUUCCAGGAAAAGCCUCUAAGCAUCAGGUAACAUCAAAUCGUACCCCAAACCGACACAGGUGGUCAGGUAGAGAAUACCAAGGCGCUUGAGAGAACUCGGGUGAAGGAACUAGGCAAAAUGGUGCCGUAACUUCGGGAGAAGGCACGCUGACACGUAGGUGAAGUGAUUUACUCAUGGAGCUGAAGUCAGUCGAAGAUACCAGCUGGCUGCAACUGUUUAUUAAAAACACAGCACUGUGCAAACACGAAAGUGGACGUAUACGGUGUGACGCCUGCCCGGUGCCGGAAGGUUAAUUGAUGGGGUCAGCGCAAGCGAAGCUCCUGAUCGAAGCCCCGGUAAACGGCGGCCGUAACUAUAACGGUCCUAAGGUAGCGAAAUUCCUUGUCGGGUAAGUUCCGACCUGCACGAAUGGCGUAAUGAUGGCCAGGCUGUCUCCACCCGAGACUCAGUGAAAUUGAACUCGCUGUGAAGAUGCAGUGUACCCGCGGCAAGACGGAAAGACCCCGUGAACCUUUACUAUAGCUUGACACUGAACAUUGAGCCUUGAUGUGUAGGAUAGGUGGGAGGCUUUGAAGUGUGGACGCCAGUCUGCAUGGAGCCGACCUUGAAAUACCACCCUUUAAUGUUUGAUGUUCUAACGUGGACCCGUUACCCGGGUUGCGGACAGUGUCUGGUGGGUAGUUUGACUGGGGCGGUCUCCUCCUAAAGAGUAACGGAGGAGCACGAAGGUUGGCUAAUCCUGGUCGGACAUCAGGAGGUUAGUGCAAUGGCAUAAGCCAGCUUGACUGCGAGCGUGACGGCGCGAGCAGGUGCGAAAGCAGGUCAUAGUGAUCCGGUGGUUCUGAAUGGAAGGGCCAUCGCUCAACGGAUAAAAGGUACUCCGGGGAUAACAGGCUGAUACCGCCCAAGAGUUCAUAUCGACGGCGGUGUUUGGCACCUCGAUGUCGGCUCAUCACAUCCUGGGGCUGAAGUAGGUCCCAAGGGUAUGGCUGUUCGCCAUUUAAAGUGGUACGCGAGCUGGGUUUAGAACGUCGUGAGACAGUUCGGUCCCUAUCUGCCGUGGGCGCUGGAGAACUGAGGGGGGCUGCUCCUAGUACGAGAGGACCGGAGUGGACGCAUCACUGGUGUUCGGGUUGUCAUGCCAAUGGCACUGCCCGGUAGCUAAAUGCGGAAGAGAUAAGUGCUGAAAGCAUCUAAGCACGAAACUUGCCCCGAGAUGAGUUCUCCCUGAGACUUAAAGUCUCCUGAAGGAACGUUGAAGACGACGACGUUGAUAGGCCGGGUGUGUAAGCGCAGCGAUGCGUUGAGCUAACCGGUACUAAUGAACCGUGAGGCUUAACCUUACAACGCCGAAG